CUAUACAUGACUCUGCGCAUAUCAAUAAGCGGAGGAAAAGAAACUAACAAGGAUUCCCCUAGUAACGGCGAGUGAAGCGGGAAGAGCUCAAAUUUGAAAUCUUAAAGGGUUUCCCUUUACGAAUUGUAGUUUAAAGAAGUGUUUUCUGUUGAGGUUUUGGUAAAAGUUCUUUGGAAUGGGACAUCAUAGAGGGUGAGAAUCCCGUAUUUGACCUUUACUUUCAACUUUGUGAUACACUUUCAAAGAGUCGGAUUGUUUGGGAAUGCAGUCCAAAAUGGGUGGUAAAUUUCAUCUAAAGCUAAAUAUUGGCGAGAGACCGAUAGCGAACAAGUACCGUGAGGGAAAGAUGAAAAGAACUUUGAAAAGAGAGUUAAACAGUACGUGAAAUUGUCAAAAGGGAAGCGUUUGACACCAGUGUUGUUUUUCUGAAAAUCAAUUAAAGAGCUGUUUAUGCUAAGCUGUUUAGACUUUAUCAGCUAUCUGCUUAGUUUUGAGCUUUUCUUUAAUGCACUUUUCAGUUAACAAGUCAACAUCAAUUUCUUUUGCUGUAAAAAAGCUUGAGGAAGGUGGCUUGAGAUUCGUCUUAAGUGUUUAUAGCCUCUUGCCUAUGCAGUCGGAGAGAUUGAGGUCUGCAGCGUAGAUCCUUCGGGGCUAAAUGCAUUUGUGCUAAGUUAUAGCAUUUUAUAGACAACUUGUUGACUAUGAUUUGUCUUGUAGCUUACUCGCUUAUGUUAUUUUACCUACGCUUAGGAUGUUGAGCGCAUGUCUCUCUCU
RNAcentral lists this ribosomal RNA (774 nucleotides) under uncultured Neocallimastigales. RNAcentral describes it as "partial large subunit ribosomal RNA". It matches the Rfam family "Eukaryotic large subunit ribosomal RNA", at positions 22 to 616 of the family's 3401-position model. Lineage: Eukaryota; Fungi; Neocallimastigomycota; Neocallimastigomycetes; Neocallimastigales. The record is from RNAcentral.